UUUCCGUAGGUGAACCUGCGGAAGGAUCAUUAUCGAAUUUCGAGGGGAAUGAAGAUGAGGAGUGGAUACUGUCUCUUGCUUUCCCGCCUGGGAAGCAUGUGCACGCCUUGCUUUUCGUUGACCUUUCUCUUACUCUCACACCUGUGCACCCAUUGUAUGUCCUCGAAAUAGGAUCUAUGUUUUUAUCAUCACACUCAUCGUAUGUCCGUAUAAUGUACCAUGACCGUCGAUCGACCUCGCGGUCGCGUGGCGGUCUAAAUAAAUAAAUACAACUUUCAGCAACGGAUCUCUUGGCUCUC
RNAcentral lists this unclassified non-coding RNA (299 nucleotides) under plant metagenome. RNAcentral's name for it is "partial contains small subunit ribosomal RNA, internal transcribed spacer 1, and 5.8S ribosomal RNA". The record is from RNAcentral.